GUCGCACGACACGCCAGCGGUUCUCAAUCUGAAGAUUACGGCAUGUAAAGAGGAUGCGAGAAAGCCCGGCCGAACGGAAGACACGAUAAGCACGUACGGAAAUCCGUAGCGGGUUCUGAAUUUAAAACACGAAUAGUCUUGACACCGUUCUAAGUGUCCGAGUCUAAUGUUAUUGGACGGUCAAUAUUAGCGCGCUUCACGUGAUGAGCGACGAGCACCAUACGGCUUCCUUUUACACGCCACCGUUUUCCCUCCUAUCGAGGAAUGCUUUAGGCAUCGCUGGAACGACGGCGUUGCCAGACACGUUGAAUAGCAAGCAAAACAUUUCUUAUCUGGCGUGAUAUUAUAUCCAUUAACGCGUGUCAUGCGAAUUUCUAGAUGCAGCGACAUCGCAGCAUCGUUUAAAGUAUGACGUCGCUAUUCUUGACACCUUUCUUGGAAACUUGGGUGUAGAAAAAAGAAAAGAAUAUACCAAGACGGUUGCGGCACGGAUAAAAGAACGACGAGCUCGAUUUUAACGUUCCAAGGAACGCUUGUGCACACUAGCGAAGGUUACGAAAAUGUCAUCGGUCUCGAAACACUUAACCGCAAUGUAUAAUCAUUCUUUAUUUAUUUAUGAGGUCGAUACGCAACAUCGCAACAAAUU
This 646-nucleotide unclassified non-coding RNA is filed under the name Bombus terrestris (buff-tailed bumblebee). RNAcentral describes it as "misc RNA ENSBTSG00005027299.1". The record is from RNAcentral. Lineage: Eukaryota; Metazoa; Arthropoda; Insecta; Hymenoptera; Apidae.